UGAGGUGUGGAUAGGGGAGAAAUUCCAAUCGAACCCGGAGAUAGCUGGUUCUCCUCGAAAUAGCUUUAGGGCUAGCCCCGUAUUAGUUUAGCGGAGGUAGAGCACUGAAUUCCUAAGGGGGCGUCAAAGCUUACCAAGGGAUAUCAAACUCCGAAUGCCGCAUAAAUGAUGUACGGGAGUCAGACUGCACGAGAUAAGUUGGGCAGUCAAAAGGGAAAGAGCCCAGACCUACAGCUAAGGUCCCAAAGUGUGUGUUAAGUGGAAAAGGAUGUGGGAUUUCAGAGACAACUAGGAUGUUGGCUUAGAAGCAGCCACACAUUCAAAGAGUGCGUAAUAGCUCACUAGUCGAGAGGUCCUGCGCCGAAAAUGUCCGGGGCUAAAACACAACACCGAAGCUUAGGAAUGUAGAAAUACAUUGGUAGAGGAGCAUUCUUAAAGGAAUGAAGCAGUACCGGUAAGGAGCUGUGGACUUUUAAGAAGAGAGAAUGCCGGAAUGAGUAGCGAGAUGGAGGUGGGAAUCCUCCAGGCCGAAUAUCCAAGGUUUCCAGAGUAAAGCUGAUCUGCUCUGGGUAAGUCGGGGCCUAAGGUAAGGCUGAGAAGCGUAGCCGAUGGACAACAGGUUGAGAUUCCUGUACCGCGUAUCAUCAGAACUGUGGGGACACAGAAGGACAGCACAUCCCGGGAAUGGAAAGACCGGGGCAAGCAGGGUAGGAGUUAAGCUGGCAAAUCCGCUUAACAAUCCGAAGCUGUGAUGCGGAGCGAAUUUAAGUAGCGAAGUGUGCGAUUCCGGCUGUCAAGAAAAGCCGCUAUUGUGUGAUACGUGCCCGUACCGUAAACCGACACAGGUAGAUGAGGAGAGAAUCCUAAGGCCGGCGGGAGAAGCAUUGUUAAGGAACUCGGCAAAAUGACCCUGUAACUUCGGGAGAAAGGGUGCCUGGGAAACCAGGCCGCAGAGAAUAGGCUCAAGCAACUGUUUAGCAAAAACACAGGUCUAUGCAAAACCGUAAGGUGAGGUAUAUGGGCUGACGCCUGCCCGGUGCUGGAAGGUUAAGAGGAGGGGUUAGCGCAAGCGAAGCUCUGAAUUGAAGCCCCAGUAAACGGCGGCCGUAACUAUAACGGUCCUAAGGUAGCGAAAUUCCUUGUCGGGUAAGUUCCGACCCGCACGAAAGGCGUAAUGAUUUGAGCGCUGUCUCGACAAUGCACCCGGUGAAAUUGAAAUACCAGUGAAGAUGCUGGUUACCUGCGCCAGGACGGAAAGACCCCAUGGAGCUUUACUCCAGCUUGAUACUGGGAUUCGGUACUGCAUGUACAGGAUAGGUGGGAGACUGAGAACUAUGAACGCCAGUUUGUAGGGAGUCGCUGUUGGGAUACCACCCUUGCGGUAUUGGAUUUCUAACCUGCAGCCGUGAACCGGCUGGGGGACAAUGUCAGGCGGGGAGUUUGACUGGGGCGGUCGCCUCCGAAAGGGUAUCGGAGGCGCUCAAAGGUUCCCUCAGAAUGGUUGGAAACCAUUCGAAGAGUGCAAAGGCAGAAGGGAGCUUGACUGCGACACCGACGGGUGGAGCAGGUACGAAAGUAGGACUUAGUGAUCCGGUGGUAUAAAGUGGGAUUGCCAUCGCUCAACGGAUAAAAGCUACCCUGGGGAUAACAGGCUUAUCACUCCCAAGAGUUCACAUCGACGGAGUGGUUUGGCACCUCGAUGUCGGCUCAUCGCAUCCUGGGGCUGUAGUAGGUCCCAAGGGUUGGGCUGUUCGCCCAUUAAAGCGGUACGCGAGCUGGGUUCAGAACGUCGUGAGACAGUUCGGUCCCUAUCCGGCGCGGGCGUAAGAUAUUUGAGAGGAGCUGUCCUUAGUACGAGAGGACCGGGAUGGACGGGCCGCUGGUGUACCUGUUGGAGUGCCAACUCCAUGGCAGGGUAGCCAAGCCCGGACGGGAUAAACGCUGAAGGCAUCUAAGCGUGAAGCCCCCCUCAAGAUGAGAUAUCUCAUACGCAAGUAGUAAGACCCCUUGAAGACGACGAGGUAGAUAGGUCAGAGGUGGAAGUGCGGUAACGCAUGGAGCUGACUGAUACUAAUCGGUCGAGGGCUUGACCAA
RNAcentral lists this ribosomal RNA (2094 nucleotides) under human gut metagenome. RNAcentral's name for it is "bacterial LSU rRNA". It matches the Rfam family "Bacterial large subunit ribosomal RNA", at positions 805 to 2925 of the family's 2925-position model. The record is from RNAcentral.